Molecule: transfer RNA, 73 nt
Filed under: Myotis lucifugus (little brown bat)
Lineage: Eukaryota; Metazoa; Chordata; Mammalia; Chiroptera; Vespertilionidae
Rfam family: tRNA
About the family: Transfer RNA (tRNA) molecules are approximately 80 nucleotides in length.
Source: Rfam by way of RNAcentral
GCUGUGAUGGCUCAGUGGACUGAGCACCGUCCCAUAGACCAAGAGAUCCUGGGUUUGAUUCCCGGUCAGGGCA